UACGUAGGCAGCAAGCGUUGUUCGGAGUUACUGGGCGUAAAGGGUGUGUAGGCGGUUCCUUAAGUUUGCUGUGAAAUCUCCCGGCUUAACCGGGAGGGUGCGGUGAAUACUGAGGGACUAGAGUACGGGAGAGGAAAGUGGAAUUCCUGGUGUAGAGGUGAAAUUCGUAGAUAUCAGGAGGAACACCGGCGGCGAAGGCGGCUACCUGGUCCACAACUGACGUUCAGGUACGAAAGCGUGGGGAGCAAACAGG
Molecule: ribosomal RNA, 253 nt
Filed under: uncultured bacterium
Lineage: Bacteria
Description: partial 16S ribosomal RNA
Rfam family: Bacterial small subunit ribosomal RNA
Source: RNAcentral